GAUGGAAGAACGCAGCAAAAUGCGAUAAGUAAUGUGAAUUGCAGAAUUCAGUGAAUCAUCGAAUCUUUGAACGCACAUUGCGCCCGCCAGUAUUCUGGCGGGCAUGCCUGUUCGAGCGUCAUUUCAACCCUCAAGCACAGCUUGGUGUUGGGACUCGCGUUAAUUCGCGUUCCUCAAAUUGAUUGGCGGUCACGUCGAGCUUCCAUAGCGUAGUAGUAAAACCCUCGUUACUGGUAAUCGUCGCGGCCACGCCGUUAAACCCCAACUUCUGAAUGUUGACCUCGGAUCAGGUAGGAAUACCCGCUGAACUUAAGCAUAUCAAUAAGCGGAGGA
This 333-nucleotide unclassified non-coding RNA is filed under the name soil metagenome. RNAcentral's name for it is "partial contains 5.8S ribosomal RNA, internal transcribed spacer 2, and large subunit ribosomal RNA". The stretch from base 5 to 121 matches the Rfam family "5.8S ribosomal RNA", at positions 38 to 154 of the family's 154-position model. The record is from RNAcentral.